Molecule: non-coding RNA, 19 nt
Filed under: Arabidopsis thaliana (thale cress)
Lineage: Eukaryota; Viridiplantae; Streptophyta; Magnoliopsida; Brassicales; Brassicaceae
Also listed under: 2 other names
Source: RNAcentral
CGAUGUCGGCUCUUCCUAU